RNAcentral lists this ribosomal RNA (1434 nucleotides) under Triticum aestivum (bread wheat). RNAcentral's name for it is "partial small subunit ribosomal RNA". Lineage: Eukaryota; Viridiplantae; Streptophyta; Magnoliopsida; Poales; Poaceae. The record is from RNAcentral.
AUGGAGUUGGGAACAAGAAGUCGCCGGCGUUCCCCGGAGCCAGGCCCAGGCCGCGGAGCGGACUACCUCAGCGCCCUCCCCGACGAUCUUCUGCUCCUGGUCCUCGCCCGCCUCGGCUGCGCCGCCGCCGCCGCGCGCACCGGCCUCCUCGCCCGCCGGUGGCGCGGCCUCUGGGCCCGCCUCCGCGACCUCGCCUUCCGGGACGUCGCGUUCCCGUCGCUCCAGGUGGCGCUCGGCCGCGUCGCCGUCCCUCCGCCAGCGGUCUCUCUCCUCGAGAUCCGCGUCCCCGGCAAGAUCAGGCCUGCCGCCGACGCCGUCACCUCACUGCUGCGCGCCGCCGCGCGGCUCGCGCCGGAGAAACUUGUCUUCGGCCUUACGGGACAUCUUCCGCUCCAAGAUCCGAAUCCCGCGGGCGUCGACCUGCCGUGCUUCCACCGCGCCACCUCGAUUGUGCUGGAGUGGAUCCCCUUCGUCCUCCGCGCACCGGCCGCCGGGGGCGAGUUCCCCGCCCUCCUGAAGCUGUCCCUCACGGGCUGCAAAGUCGACGACCUCGGCACCUUGCUCUCCCUCUGCCCACGCCUGCGCGUUCUCAGGCUCAAGAGCCUAAUUUGGCUCGGUGGCGACGACUUGACGACAGUCCACUCGGCGUCGCUGCAGGAGCUUGUCAUGGAGAGCAUCUGGACACACCGAGUCGAUAUCGUUGCUCCCAUCCUGAAGCAAUUGACGCUGUCCUCAUGGGCCGAAGCGCAGGUGAGCAUCUCCAUCUUGGCACCAAUGAUCCAGAAUGUCUCGUGGCAGUGGCUCUAUGACAAUGGAACUAUUGGGUUUGGUCUUUGGACCCUCGAGAAGCUGAGGCUACAGACGGCACAGAGACAGGGACAACUCCCUUCGCUGCUCAUUCAUGCCUCCAGUAGCUGGUAUAGUUUUACCGAUGAAGCCGCAAACUUUGCACAAGAGAUAGAGAAGCAUAUGGUUACUGACUUCUUUGCUUUGGAGCUACAUCUGAGAACAACAGGUCAUGUUUUUGGAGAAUUUGUGUUGCAUUUUCUUGGAUUGAAUCGGAUCCGCAGUGUUAUACGAAGACUUAAGGUCGUCCGAGUCCGACAGGGAUCAUGGGGGGAUGAAGCAUGCCCUGCAAAUUGUCCUUGUGACACUAUGAACUGGAGGACCCAAACUAUCUCCUUGACUGCCCUUGAAGAUUUAGAAAUCAAUGGCUUCGAAGCAGAGGAUCAUGAACUUGAUUUCUUGAAACUGAUACUCCAUUCUGCGCCAAUGCUUAAAACAGUGAUUGUGAAGUUGUCAGAUGAGAUCUCGUCAAGUGAUGAUACAAUCACGAAAAAAUGCAACAUCUUCAGAGCGUACCCUUCUGUGAAAUGUAAUGUUUAUCUGAGCUCUGGGUUAAUGCAUCAGAGCCAAAAUUGCCUGCUGACAUGA